AGAGUUUGAUCAUGGCUCAGAACGAACGCUGGCGGCAUGCCUAACACAUGCAAGUCGAACGUGAUCCGGGGCUUGCUCCGGUGAAAGUGGCGGACGGGUGAGUAACGCGUGGGAACCUGCCCAGUGGUCGGGGAUAACUGCGGGAAACUGCAGCUAAUACCCGGUAAGCCCUAUGGGGGAAAGAUUUAUCGCCAUUGGAGGGGCCCGCGUCGGAUUAGGUAGUUGGUGGGGUAACGGCCUACCAAGCCUACGAUCCGUAGCUGGUCUGAGAGGAUGAUCAGCCACACUGGGACUGAGAUACGGCCCAGACUCCUACGGGAGGCAGCAGUGGGGAAUAUUGGACAAUGGGCGCAAGCCUGAUCCAGCAAUGCCGCGUGAGUGAAGAAGGCCUUAGGGUUGUAAAGCUCUUUCGGCGGGGACGAUGAUGACGGUACCCGCAGAAGAAGCCCCGGCUAACUCCGUGCCAGCAGCCGCGGUAAUACGGAGGGGGCUAGCGUUGUUCGGAAUUACUGGGCGUAAAGGGCGCGUAGGCGGCGCGAUAAGUUAGGCGUGAAAGGCCCGGGCUCAACCCGGGGACUGCGCUUGAUACUGUCGCGCUGUGAGUCCGGGAGAGGAUGGCGGAAUUCCCAGUGUAGAGGUGAAAUUCGUAGAUAUUGGGAAGAACACCGGUGGCGAAGGCGGCCAUCUGGACCGGCACUGACGCUGAGGCGCGAACGCGUGGGGAGCAAACAGGAUUAGAUACCCCGGUAGUCC
RNAcentral lists this ribosomal RNA (753 nucleotides) under uncultured bacterium. Its description in RNAcentral is "bacterial SSU rRNA". It matches the Rfam family "Bacterial small subunit ribosomal RNA", at positions 8 to 796 of the family's 1533-position model. The record is from RNAcentral.